Molecule: small nuclear RNA, 115 nt
Gene: U2
Rfam family: U2 spliceosomal RNA
About the family: U2 is a small nuclear RNA (snRNA) component of the spliceosome (involved in pre-mRNA splicing). Complementary binding between U2 snRNA (in an area lying towards the 5' end but 3' to hairpin I) and the branchpoint sequence (BPS) of the intron results the bulging out of an unpaired adenosine, on the BPS, which initiates a nucleophilic attack at the intronic 5' splice site, thus starting the first of two transesterification reactions that mediate splicing.
Source: Ensembl
AUCACUUCUCGGCCAGUUUGGCUAAGAUCAAGUGUAGUAUCUGUUCUUGUCAGUUUAAUAUCUUAUAAUCUGGUUCUUUAUGCAUCAAUAUCAUAAAACUAUUCUCAUAACUUCU